AUUGAACGCUGGCGGCAUGCCUAACACAUGCAAGUCGAACGAGUGGCGGACGGGUGAGUAAUGCCUGGGAACGUGCCUGAUGGAGGGGGAUAACUUUCGGAAACGGUAGCUAAUACCGCAUACCAUCGGAUGUGCCCAGGUGGGAUUAGCUAGUGGGGGGGGUAAAGGCUCACCUAGGCGACGAUCCCUAGCUGGUCUGAGAGGGUGACCAGCCACACUGGGACUGAGACACGGUCCAGACUCCUACGGGAGGCAGCAGUGGGGAAUAUUGGACAAUGGGCGAAAGCCUGAUCCAGCCAUGCCGCGUGUAUGAAGAAGGCCUUCGGGUUGUAAAGUACUUUCGGCGGGGAGGCGUUACCCGCAGAAUAAGCACCGGCUAACUCCGUGCCAGCAGCCGCGGUAAUAC
This 406-nucleotide ribosomal RNA is filed under the name uncultured bacterium. Its description in RNAcentral is "partial 16S ribosomal RNA". It matches the Rfam family "Bacterial small subunit ribosomal RNA", at positions 30 to 526 of the family's 1533-position model. The record is from RNAcentral.